RNAcentral lists this ribosomal RNA (253 nucleotides) under uncultured bacterium. RNAcentral describes it as "partial 16S ribosomal RNA". It matches the Rfam family "Bacterial small subunit ribosomal RNA", at positions 524 to 776 of the family's 1533-position model. The record is from RNAcentral.
UACGGGGGGGGCAAGCGUUGUUCGGAAUUACUGGGCGUAAAGGGCUCGUAGGCGGCCAACUAAGUCAGACGUGAAAUCCCUCGGCUUAACCGGGGAACUGCGUCUGAUACUGGAUGGCUUGAGUUCGGGAGAGGGAUGCAGAAUUCCAGGUGUAGCGGUGAAAUGCGUAGAUAUCUGGAGGAAUACCGGUGGCGAAGGCGGCAUCCUGGACCGACAUUGACGCUGAGGAGCGAAAGCUAGGGGAGCAAACGGG